Molecule: long non-coding RNA, 283 nt
Filed under: Physcomitrium patens
Lineage: Eukaryota; Viridiplantae; Streptophyta; Bryopsida; Funariales; Funariaceae
Description: long non-coding RNA (PPAT_LNC002582)
Source: RNAcentral
UCUAAACCCUAAUUUACAAGUACCCGAGCACUAUUUUCUUAAUAUCUCAAAAAUCCAAUACUCAAAUAUCAUCAAACUUAUGUAUAAAGUUUAUUAACAUGAAUUUACAAAUUUUCUAAAAUUUUGAGCCAAAAUCUUAUCAAAUUGCUCAAGAUAUAGCUCAAGACACAACCACUAGUAAAUCGGGUCACUUACUACCCUUAGAUUGCAUGCACUGACUUCAAAAUCCAAUAAUUCCUUCACUUUAACUUAGAAUCCAGUAAGAAAUAAGCAAAAAAUGUAG